Molecule: ribosomal RNA, 468 nt
Filed under: uncultured bacterium
Lineage: Bacteria
Description: partial 16S ribosomal RNA
Rfam family: Bacterial small subunit ribosomal RNA
Source: RNAcentral
GACGAACGCUGGCGGCGUGCUUAACACAUGCGAGUCGAACGGAAAGGCCCUGCUUUUGUGGGGUGCUCGAGUGGCGAACGGGUGAGUAACACGUGAGUAACCUGCCCUUGACUUUGGGAUAACUCCAGGAAACUGGGGCUAAUACCGGAUAGGAGCUCCUGCUGCAUGGGGGGGGUUGGAAAGUGUCGGCGGUUGGGGAUGGACUCGGGGCUUAUCAGCUUGUUGGUGGGGUAGUGGCUUACCACGGCUUUGACGGGUAGCCGGCCUGAGAGGGUGACCGGCCACAUUGGGACUGAGAUACGGCCCAGACUCCUACGGGAGGCAGCAGUGGGGAAUAUUGCACAAUGGGCGGAAGCCUGAUGCAGCAACGCCGCGUGCGGGAUGACGGCCUUCGGGUUGUAAACCGCUUUCGCCUGUGACGAAGCGUGAGUGACGGUAAUGGGUAAAGAAGCACCGGCUAACUACGUG